This 465-nucleotide ribosomal RNA is filed under the name uncultured bacterium. Its description in RNAcentral is "partial 16S ribosomal RNA". It matches the Rfam family "Bacterial small subunit ribosomal RNA", at positions 338 to 795 of the family's 1533-position model. The record is from RNAcentral.
CCUACGGGGGGCUGCAGUGGGGAAUUUUGCGCAAUGCUCGUAAGAGUGACGCAGCGACGCCGCGUGAAUGACGAAGGCCUUCGGGUCGUAAAGUUCUUUCGACAGGGAAGAAAAUGCCUAUAAGUAACUGUGUAUGUAUUGACGGUACCUGUAUAAGCAGCCCCGGCUAACUCCGUGCCAGCAGCCGCGGUAAUACGGAGGGGGCGAGCGUUGUUCGGAGGGACUGGGCGUAAAGCGCACGUAGGCGGUGUUGUAAGUCAUUAGUCAAAGACUAGAGCUCAACUUUAGUAAGGCUAGUGAUACUAUAAUACUAGAGUAUCAGAGAGGAUGGCAGAAUUCCUGGUGUAGCGGUGAAAUGCGUAGAUAUCAGGAGGAAUACCGUUAGCGAAGGCGGCAAUCUGGCUGGAAACUGACGCUGAGGUGCGAAAGCGUGGGUAGCAAACAGGAUUAGAUACCCUUGUAGUC